Molecule: ribosomal RNA, 468 nt
Filed under: uncultured bacterium
Lineage: Bacteria
Description: partial 16S ribosomal RNA
Rfam family: Bacterial small subunit ribosomal RNA
Source: RNAcentral
GACGAACGCUGGCGGCGUGCUUAACACAUGCAAGUCGAAUGGAAAGGCCCUGCUUUUGUGGGGUGCUCGAGUGGCGAACGGGUGAGUAACACGUGAGUAACCUGCCCUUGACUUUGGGAUAACUUCAGGAAACUGGGGCUAAUACCGGAUAGAAGCUCCUGCUGCAUGGUGGGGGUUGGAAAGUUUCGGCGGUUGGGGAUGGACUCGCGGCUUAUCAGCUUGUUGGUGGGGUAGUGGCUUACCAAGGCUUUGACGGGUAGCCGGCCUGAGAGGGUGACCGGCCACAUUGGGACUGAGAUACGGCCCAGACUCCUACGGGAGGCAGCAGUGGGGAAUAUUGUACAAUGGGCGGAAGCCUGAUGCAGCAACGCCGCGUGCGGGAUGACGGCCUUCGGGUUGUAAACCGCUUUCGCCUGUGACGAAGCGUGAGUGACGGUAAUGGGUAAAGAAGCACCGGCUAACUACGUG